GCGAUCGAGUGGGCAGUUGGCGCGGGAGAAUGUGGUGUGCGGGGUGUGUCCGGAAAUGUGUGGGGGAAAGUGCUCGUAGGCGGUUUGUGGCGUCGGGAGUGAAAACUCGGGGCUCAACCCCGAGCCUGCUUGCGGUGCGGGCUGAGUAGAGGGAUGCAGGGGAGAACGGAAUUCCUGGUGUAGCGGUGAAAUGCGCAGAUAUCAGGAGGAACACCGGUGGCGAAGGCGGUUCUCUGGGCAUUACCUGACGCUGAGGAGCGAAAGUGUGGGGAGCGAACAGGAUUCGAUACCCGUGUAGUC
RNAcentral lists this ribosomal RNA (300 nucleotides) under uncultured Euzebyella sp. RNAcentral describes it as "bacterial SSU rRNA". The stretch from base 67 to 300 matches the Rfam family "Bacterial small subunit ribosomal RNA", at positions 562 to 795 of the family's 1533-position model. Lineage: Bacteria; Pseudomonadati; Bacteroidota; Flavobacteriia; Flavobacteriales; Flavobacteriaceae. The record is from RNAcentral.